UGUGAGCUCAGGGAAGUGGGCAUGUAAGCGUGAUAGCUAAUAAACUUUUGUCGUUGUUAAAGUCUUAUUCUUCCAACACAACACCCACAUCCACUCACCUUUAGCUUCCCCUUGUGUCGUGAUCCUAUUGUUUAGCCUACAUGCUCUAGGAUCAGACAACACUGGAUGCCUGAUUAACAUGGACUUGGGUUUGAAAGCAUGCAGGGCACCUUACCCCAGGCCAAGGCACAGCGAGCCAUCUGCAGCAUGACAAAAUCCUAAUGUCAGGGUUUCUUCAUAAACUGGUGAAGGAGGAGUGGAGAAGAUAACACGCCAAGAUAUGUGUAUGAAACCACUGCUGACACAGCCAUUGUAGAAGAUGUACCCUGGCAUCUGAUCAGGAGCCUUGACACCAGCAACUCUCACAGUGGCAAAGCAUUUGUCCCAUUCCAAGACCCCUCAAUACAGUCCACCUCAGUCUGCUCCCAGACAUUCCAUUCCCUCUCACAUCCUUCACAUUAUGUGACUGCUGAUUUGUUUCACAGACAAUUGGUCCCUUGGCUCAGAUUCAUCGUAGUACCCCCUUGCAAACAGAAGUGCUGUCAACUCAUCCCCGAUCCCCACUCUGUCCCGUCCGUUCUCAUCAUGGCCCAGGAGUCAGGACCACUUCAGUGUCCGAUCAGAUCCACUCCUCCUGACACCUCUCUUCCACAGGCCAAUCAAGGGAGCUAAAUCCCUAUGACAAUAUCAAUAGCUGAACCUGAGCCUAUUGGCUCUCCUUGUUUUACACUUGAAAAUGUGGCGAUGUCUCAACACUAUAGCUUCAAUUUGCUCCAACAAAGGGAAGGGAAACCAUAAGUGUUUUAACGAACCUACCAUCUCUGGACAAUAAACAACAUAUGUAGAUUGAUAAAUAAACUUUAUUAGAUUGAACUCUUGUGAUCGCUUGGCGCAACCAUCUCAUUUGCUCCUGUGGUUGUUAUCAUUGAUUGGGUGUGAUCAGGGUCUAAUAAACCACCUAAUAUGUUCCUGUGGUGGAGUUUUGAUUGGUUAAUGUAAUAUUCCUUAUGUUUAAUAUGAAUAAUAAAGCAAUGUCCAGACACAGA
Oncorhynchus keta (chum salmon) is the source of this 1085-nucleotide long non-coding RNA. RefSeq lists it as uncharacterized. The transcript is spliced from 3 exons. The record is from RefSeq and is a predicted model, not a curated record. Lineage: Eukaryota; Metazoa; Chordata; Actinopteri; Salmoniformes; Salmonidae.